AAGUCUUCGGACGAGUAAAGUGGCGAAACCCUUAGUAACGCGUGACCAUCUGCCCCCGGGACGGGGACAACCAUUGGAAACGAUGGCUAAUACCCGAUACGUGGAGACACGAAACGGCUGGGACCCUACGGGGCCAGCUGCCAGGGGAGGAGGUUGCGUCCUAUCAGCUAGUUGGUGAGGUAAAGGCUCACCAAGGCAACGACGGGUAGCCGGUCUGAGAGGAUGGUCGGCCACACUGGGACUGAGACACUGCCCAGACUCCUACGGGAGGCUGCAGUCGAGAAUCUUCCGCAAUGGACGAAAGUCUGACGGAGCGACGCCGCGUGCAGGAUGAAGGCCUUAGGGUUGUAAACUGCUGUCAGAUUUCAAAGAAGGGGAGUAGGCGAAAGACCUGCUUCUUGACAUUAGGAUCAAAGGAAGCACCGGCUAACUCUGUGCCAGCAGCCGCGGUAAUACAGAGGGUGCAAACGUUGCUCGGAAUCAUUGGGCAUAAAGCGCACGUAGGCGGUUGCGUAAGUGCGGUGUGAAAGCCCCCGGCUCAACCGGGGAAUUGCAUCGCAUACUGCGCGACUAGAGCACGAGAGGGGAGAGCAGAACUCCUGGUGGAGCGGUGGAAUGCGUAGA
Molecule: ribosomal RNA, 624 nt
Filed under: uncultured bacterium
Lineage: Bacteria
Description: bacterial SSU rRNA
Rfam family: Bacterial small subunit ribosomal RNA
Source: RNAcentral